AGGCACCUGCACAGGUGCUGCAUGGCUGUCGUCAGCUCGUGUCGUGAGAUGUUGGGUUAAGUCCCGCAACGAGCGCAACCCUUAUCCCUAGUUGCCAUCAGGUAAAGCUGGGAACUCUGGGGAGACUGCCGGUGAUAAACCGGAGGAAGGCGGGGAUGACGUCAAGUCCUCAUGGCCCUUACAUCCCGGGCUACACACGUGCUACAAUGGCAGGUACAGAGGGCUGCGAAGCCGCGAGGUGGAGCGAAUCCCAGAAAACCUGUCUCAGUCCGGAUUGAAGUCUGCAACUCGACUUCAUGAAGGCGGAAUCGCUAGUAACCGCGAAUCAGCAGGUCGCGGUGAAUACCGGUUCCCGGGCCUU
This 361-nucleotide ribosomal RNA is filed under the name uncultured Latescibacterota bacterium. Its description in RNAcentral is "bacterial SSU rRNA". It matches the Rfam family "Bacterial small subunit ribosomal RNA", at positions 1024 to 1382 of the family's 1533-position model. The record is from RNAcentral. Lineage: Bacteria; Pseudomonadati; Candidatus Latescibacterota.